RNAcentral lists this ribosomal RNA (655 nucleotides) under Pseudomonas plecoglossicida. RNAcentral describes it as "bacterial SSU rRNA". It matches the Rfam family "Bacterial small subunit ribosomal RNA", at positions 401 to 1053 of the family's 1533-position model. Lineage: Bacteria; Pseudomonadati; Pseudomonadota; Gammaproteobacteria; Pseudomonadales; Pseudomonadaceae. The record is from RNAcentral.
GUGUGAAGAAGGUCUUCGGAUUGUAAAGCACUUUAAGUUGGGAGGAAGCCCAGUAAGCUAAUACCUUGCUGUUUUGACGUUACCGACAGAAUAAGCACCGGCUAACUCUGUGCCAGCAGCCGCGGUAAUACAGAGCCUGCAAGCGUUAAUCGGAAUUACUGGGCGUAAAGCGCGCGUAGGUGGUUUGUUAAGUUGGAUGUGAAAGCCCCGGGCUCAACCUGGGAACUGCAUCCAAACUGGCAGGCUAGAGUACGGUAGAGCCUGGUGGAAUUUCCUGUGUAGCGGUGAAAUGCGUAGAUAUAGGAAGGAACACCAGUGGCGAAGGCGACCACCUGGACUGAUACUGACACUGAGGUGCGAAAGCGUGGCCAGCAAACAGGAUUAGAUACCCUGGUAGUCCACGCCGUAACGAUGUCAACUAGCCGUUGGAAUCCUUGAGAUUUUAGUGGCGCAGCUAACGCAUUAAGUUGACCGCCUGGGGAGUACGGCCGCAAGGUUAAAACUCACAUGAAUUGACGGGGGCCCGCACAAGCGGUGGAGCAUGUGGUUUAAUUCGAAGCAACGCGAAGAACCUUACCAGGCCUUGACAUGCACAGAACUUUCCAGAGAUGGAUUGGUGCCUUCGGGAACUCUGACACAGUGCUGCAUGGUUCUU